This 255-nucleotide ribosomal RNA is filed under the name uncultured bacterium. RNAcentral describes it as "partial 16S ribosomal RNA". It matches the Rfam family "Bacterial small subunit ribosomal RNA", at positions 524 to 776 of the family's 1533-position model. The record is from RNAcentral.
UACGUAGGGUGCAAGCGUUGUCCGGAAUUAUUGGGCGUAAAGAGCUCGUAGGCGGUCUGUCGCGUCGGACGUGAAAAUCCAGGGCUCAACCCUGGACCUGCGUUCGAUACGGGCAGACUAGAGUUCGGUAGGGGAGACUGGAAUUCCUGGUGUAGCGGUGAAAUGCGCAGAUAUCAGGAGGAACACCGGUGGCGAAGGCGGGUCUCUGGGCCGAUACUGACGCUGAGGAGCGAAAAGCGUGGGGGAGCGAACAGG